Long non-coding RNA from Electrophorus electricus (electric eel), 1045 nucleotides. RefSeq lists it as uncharacterized. The record is from RefSeq and is a predicted model, not a curated record. Lineage: Eukaryota; Metazoa; Chordata; Actinopteri; Gymnotiformes; Gymnotidae.
AGACUGUCUCACUGUCUCGGGGUCUGUAGGGAGAAAAUGAGGGCAACAGAGAAAAAGUAGAGGUGUAGUAAUGCUGAGAAGGCAAUGACCACAAACAUACUGCUGUGUUCAGAUGGAGCCUUUUUUAAAGCUAAAGAGUGGAAUGAUCUCGACUGGCCAGGACAAGAACCUGAACAGAUUCCCACAUUAGAUUGCUAUAAUCACACCAGCAGUUACCAACACUAAACCAGCACCAAUAGAGAAGUACACAGCCAGCCCUGGAAAUACUGUACAAGGAAAUAUGCAUACAGAGAGCAAAAAGCCAUGCAGGUCAUGAACUAUAAUGUGUGAUCUCUCUGACACAUACAGUAUGUACUUCUCUUACAAUGAGUAUGCUCACCACAACUUAUGCAAUAUAAAGUGCGGAAAAUGUUCUAAAAAAUAUGAACUCUACAAAGUGCAUUUUGUUGCCUGUACUGGUACUGUACUGUACUGGAGCAAUAACAAAGUUGAAUCUCCCUCUGAAUAUUGACUGUGCAUUUUUACUGCAUGUUGUUUUUGUGGCCUACUUCUGUUAUUCCCACCCAUGACUGUGGAUCAUAACAAUCAUGAAACUAUGUCAUGUUUAUACUCCCUGUGUCAGACUGCUUAGUCUGUGUGUUUAUAUCCCUGUCUUGUGCCUGUCAUUUGUACAGUUUUGUUACGCUUCACAACCGAUGGCUCAGAAACAAAAAUACAAGAUGGUGAGACUUUGUAAAGACAAACUGUACAAAGAGGGCAUAUAUACAAGGACAAAUGAGGACUAACAAAAAACAAGUGAUUACAAUAACAGGUGGAGAUACUAAAAAGGGGUGGAAGAGAAUUAAACCAGACAUGGAAGCAUGAGGAAACGAAACCAGGAAGUAAACAAACAUGAUGUUUUACUGUAGGAACCGCCAGAGAGGAGAGAAAAUAACUCUCACUGACAGCAUGUUCACUGAUGCUUUGAGGUAUCCUAAUGAAAACGUAUGCCUACUGAAAGCCUCAUGACAGAUAUUAAAGAAGAAAAAACUGAAAUCAAGCAUCU